This 385-nucleotide ribosomal RNA is filed under the name uncultured bacterium. Its description in RNAcentral is "bacterial SSU rRNA". It matches the Rfam family "Bacterial small subunit ribosomal RNA", at positions 30 to 416 of the family's 1533-position model. The record is from RNAcentral.
AUUGAACGCUGGCGGCAUGCCUUACACAUGCAAGUCGAACGGCAGCACGGGAGCAAUCCUGGUGGCGAGUGGCGAACGGGUGAGUAAUAUAUCGGAACGUGCCCAGUCGUGGGGAUAACGUAGUGAAAGCUACGCUAAUACCGCAUACGAUCUAUGGAUGAAAGCGGGGGAUCGCAAGACCUCGCGCGAUUGGAGCGGCCGAUAUCAGAUUAGGUAGUUGGUGAGGUAAAGGCUCACCAAGCCGACGAUCUGUAGCUGGUCUGAGAGGACGACCAGCCACACUGGGACUGAGACACGGCCCAGACUCCUACGGGAGGCAGCAGUGGGGAAUUUUGGACAAUGGGCGCAAGCCUGAUCCAGCAAUGCCGCGUGCAGGAUGAAGGCC